Cyprinus carpio (common carp) is the source of this 190-nucleotide long non-coding RNA. RefSeq lists it as uncharacterized. The record is from RefSeq and is a predicted model, not a curated record. NCBI's taxonomy places the organism in Eukaryota, Metazoa, Chordata, Actinopteri, Cypriniformes, Cyprinidae. The transcript is spliced from 3 exons.
UUUAUAUAAUAUGUUCUGAAUUUGACCUUUUUUGUAGGGAAUACAGAGAUUGAUGUGGAUAAUGGAAAAGACCUGGAUAUAUUUGAAAUAAAUGAAGCGGCAGGACUUGACCUGGUGGAAGGAGACAUUCUGAUAAAUGAGGGAGAAGACAGAAACACUAUUCUUGGUGAAAAGUAUCGUUGGCCAACCA